Molecule: ribosomal RNA, 1516 nt
Filed under: uncultured bacterium
Lineage: Bacteria
Description: partial 16S ribosomal RNA
Rfam family: Bacterial small subunit ribosomal RNA
Source: RNAcentral
ACGAACGCUGGCGGCGUGCCUAAUACAUGCAAGUCGAGCGAGCUGAAUUCAAAGAUUCCUUCGGGGUGAUUUGUUGGAUGCUAGCGGCGGAUGGGUGAGUAACACGUGGGCAAUCUGCCCUAAAGACUGGGAUACCACUUGGAAACAGGUGCUAAUACCGGAUAACAACAUGAAUCGCAUGAUUCAAGUUUGAAAGGCGGCGCAAGCUGUCACUUUAGGAUGAGCCCGCGGCGCAUUAGCUAGUUGGUGGGGUAAAGGCCUACCAAGGCAAUGAUGCGUAGCCGAGUUGAGAGACUGAUCGGCCACAUUGGGACUGAGACACGGCCCAAACUCCUACGGGAGGCAGCAGUAGGGAAUCUUCCACAAUGGACGCAAGUCUGAUGGAGCAACGCCGCGUGAGUGAAGAAGGUCUUCGGAUCGUAAAGCUCUGUUGUUGGUGAAGAAGGAUAGAGGCAGUAACUGGUCUUUAUUUGACGGUAAUCAACCAGAAAGUCACGGCUAACUACGUGCCAGCAGCCGCGGUAAUACGUAGGUGGCAAGCGUUGUCCGGAUUUAUUGGGCGUAAAGCGAGCGCAGGCGGAAUGAUAAGUCUGAUGUGAAAGCCCAUCGCUUAACGGUGGGUCUGCGCCGGGUACGGGCGGGCUAGAGUGCAGUAGGGGAGACUGGAAUUCCCGGUGUAACGGUGGAAUGUGUAGAUAUCGGGAAGAACACCAAUGGCGAAGGCAGGUCUCUGGGCUGUUACUGACGCUGAGAAGCGAAAGCGUGGGGAGCGAACAGGAUUAGAUACCCUGGUAGUCCACGCCGUAAACGGUGGACGCUGGAUGUGGGGCCCAUUCCACGGGUUCCGUGUCGGAGCUAACGCGUUAAGCGUCCCGCCUGGGGAGUACGGCCGCAAGGCUAAAACUCAAAGAAAUUGACGGGGGCCCGCACAAGCGGCGGAGCAUGCGGAUUAAUUCGAUGCAACGCGAAGAACCUUACCUGGGCUUGACAUGUGCCUGUCGACUGCAGAGAUGUGGUUUCCCUUCGGGGCAGGUUCACAGGUGGUGCAUGGUCGUCGUCAGCUCGUGUCGUGAGAUGUUGGGUUAAGUCCCGCAACGAGCGCAACCCUCGCCCUGUGUUGCCAGCGGGUUAUGCCGGGAACUCACGGGGGACCGCCGGGGUUAACUCGGAGGAAGGUGGGGAUGACGUCAGAUCAUCAUGCCCCUUACGUCCAGGGCUUCACGCAUGCUACAAUGGCCGGUACAACGGGAUGCGACGUGGUGACAUGGAGCGGAUCCCUUAAAACCGGUCUCAGUUCGGAUCGUAGUCUGCAACUCGACUACAUGAAGGCGGAGUCGCUAGUAAUCGCGAAUCAGCAACGUCGCGGUGAAUGCGUUCCCGGGCCUUGUACACACCGCCCGUCAAGUCAUGAAAGUGGGCAGCACCCGAAGCCGGUGGCCUAACCCUUUUGGGAUGGAGCCGUCUAAGGUGAGGCUCGUGAUUGGAACGAAGUCGUAACAAGGUAGCCGUAAAGGGC